RNAcentral lists this ribosomal RNA (381 nucleotides) under uncultured bacterium. RNAcentral describes it as "bacterial SSU rRNA". It matches the Rfam family "Bacterial small subunit ribosomal RNA", at positions 29 to 402 of the family's 1533-position model. The record is from RNAcentral.
AAUGAACGCUGGCGGCGCGCCUAAUACAUGCAAGUCGAGCGAGAAGACGUAGCAAUACGUUUGUAAAGCGGCGAACGGGUGAGGAAUACAUGGGUAACCUACCCUCGAGUGGGGAAUAACUAGCCGAAAGGUUAGCUAAUACCGCGUACGCUCCUUGGACUUCGGUUCAGGGAGGAAAGCGAUACCGUGGGUAUCGCGCUCUUGGUUGGGCUCAUGUCCUAUCAGCUUGUUGGUGAGGAACGGCUCACCAAGGCUUCGACGGGUAGCUGGUCUGAGAGGACGAUCAGCCACACUGGCACUGCGACACGGGCCAGACUCCUACGGGAGCAGCAGUAAGGAAUAUUGCGCAAUGGGCGAAAGCCUGACGCAGCGACGCCGCGU